This 430-nucleotide unclassified non-coding RNA is filed under the name soil metagenome. RNAcentral describes it as "partial contains 5.8S ribosomal RNA, internal transcribed spacer 2, and large subunit ribosomal RNA". The stretch from base 1 to 120 matches the Rfam family "5.8S ribosomal RNA", at positions 35 to 154 of the family's 154-position model. The record is from RNAcentral.
GAUGAAGAACGUAGCGAAAUGCGAUACGUAAUGUGAAUUGUAGAAUUCAGUGAAUCAUCGAAUCUUUGAACGCAUAUUGCGCUCUCUGGUAUUCCGGAGAGCAUGCUUGUUUGAGUAUCAGUAAACACCUCAACUCCCUUUUCUUUUUUGAAAUUGGAGCUGGACUUGAGUGAUCCCAACGCUUUCUUCCAAGAAAGUGGCGGGUUGCUUGAAAUGCAGGUGCAGCUGAACUUUUCUCUGAGCUAUAAGCAUAUCUAUUUAGUCUGCCUAAAAAACAGAUUAUUACCUUUGCUGCAGCUAACAUAAAGGAGACUAGUUCUUGUGCUGACUGAUGCAGGAUUCACAGAGACAGCUUCGGCUGACUUUGUAAACUCGAUCUCAAAUCGAGUAAGACUACCCGCUGAACUUAAGCAUAUCAAUAAGCGGAGGA